UGCGUGAAGUUGGAAUCGCUAGUAAUCGCGGAUCAGCAUGCCGCGGUGAAUACGUUCCCGGGCCUUGUACACACCGCCCGUCACACCAUGAGAGUCGGGAACACCCGAAGUCCGUAGCCUAACCGCAAGGGGGCGCGGCCGAAGGUGGGUUCGAUAAUUGGGGUGAAGUCGUAACAAGGUACC
Molecule: ribosomal RNA, 183 nt
Filed under: uncultured bacterium
Lineage: Bacteria
Description: partial 16S ribosomal RNA
Rfam family: Bacterial small subunit ribosomal RNA
Source: RNAcentral